AACGCAACUUGCGCCCUAUUAGGGCAUGUCUGUUUGAGUACCGCAAUCUUUCUGCAGCAAUGCGAAUUGAUCAUGGCGUCGGGCCUUGAUUUAAAGUUAGAAUGCUUGUUCAAGCCUUGAGGUUGGAACUAUGUGCCAGAGACGCAAGUCUUCUCAUAGCCCAUCCUAGGAUGCUGGAACCUAUAUUCUCUUUAUUUUGGUCUCAAAUCAGGCAAGACUACCCGCUGAACUUAA
Molecule: unclassified non-coding RNA, 234 nt
Filed under: uncultured fungus
Lineage: Eukaryota; Fungi
Description: partial contains 5.8S ribosomal RNA, internal transcribed spacer 2, and large subunit ribosomal RNA
Source: RNAcentral